Molecule: small nuclear RNA, 19 nt
Filed under: Arabidopsis thaliana (thale cress)
Lineage: Eukaryota; Viridiplantae; Streptophyta; Magnoliopsida; Brassicales; Brassicaceae
Description: snRNA_02076
Source: RNAcentral
AGCCUCUCUCUCUUCUUUU